This 2030-nucleotide unclassified non-coding RNA is filed under the name Hevea brasiliensis (rubber tree). The record is from RNAcentral. Lineage: Eukaryota; Viridiplantae; Streptophyta; Magnoliopsida; Malpighiales; Euphorbiaceae.
UGGAUGUUCACUGACAAUGUCCUGAGAACUCACAACCAUCAGCGUGAAAAGUUAAUAUACAAAAAGCACUUCAUUUCCGUAAAUAAAACCAUUGAAAGAAACCAAUCCAUCAUAACAAUAUGAAAAUUCUUGUUGGCAUUUGGCAAUAGGUUAGAUUGGAUCAGAAAGUUGUUUGGUAAAAUGGACUGGAUGAAGUUAAAUCAUCCUCCAAAGACAGGAUAAACUUUAACCUUCUAUUUUGAUCAUAAAAUGUUCCUCAAUAAUGUGGACAUCAAGUCAACUAUUUAUCACAACUUCCCUAGCUGUGAAUAUGAUAUCAUUGCUCAUUUCCUAAUCCUUAUUCAAUCUGCUGUCCCAACCAUUUUUUUCCUUUUCUUUUCCAGUUGCGCAAGCAGAGUCAAAUUUUCAAUAAAAGAAAAAGUUAUUGAUAUCUGGUUCACAAUGUCAUUAGCUACAUCUUGAUUUACCAUAUGCCAUGAAGAGUACACAAAAGGAAUACAUGCCUGAUAGUGUUUAUGUCAAUGUUCAUGGCAGGCAAAUUUUAAAACAACACAGUUUUUAGGUCUGGCUUUGGCAUAAUUGGGUUCAUGUCAUAAAUGAGUCGAUCUGCUCAUAAAAUGCAAAAUAUAAAUGGGUUAAACAAAAUGCAUAUAUUUACAGAUUUUUCUUGCGGACUAAGUGUGUUUUUAUUUGGGACAAGUGAUUUUUGAACAGUGAUUGAUAGUUGUACAGUUGCUAACAUUUGACAUUUUUGAUGAGAGGGCAGCAAUAAUUGUGAAAAAUAUAAUUCUAAAAUUGCUAUGUGCUUAUUUUUUUUUUCUUAAACAGAUUAGUUGUGUCAAUAUUAAAUGUAUCAGUAUAUGUUUUCUAAAAACACAAUUAUUUGUUGUCAUAGCAUUUUGCCAAAACCCAAUAAAAUAUGCAUAUGAAAUGGGUUACUUAUGUCUUGUGUAACCUGCUUAAUUAAUAAGGCAUGUUGAAAGGACAGGAUUGCUUUAUGUUCAUGUUAGCUGCUAGCAUAAUUUUUUGGCAUCCAUUUAUGACAUGACAACCAAAAUUGCUCCCCAAAGGAUCCCAUGGCUCAUGGGAAGUAGCAUAACCAAGUUUUCAAAUUCUCUAAUAACAUUUAACUGUUAUAGUCUUGUAGACUUAUUUCAAGGGCAUAACCCGAAGAAGAUAAACCAUUCAUACAGUCUCAAUGUAAAAAAUAUUAGCUUAAAAAUCAUUUUGAAUCCACUCGAUGGAGUCUUACUUUAGCAUCAAUGAAAGAGAUGUAAAGGUCUGUAACAGCACAUAUCUGAUUUAAACCCGUUUGAGAUUCAGACAUUCAGUAGCUGAGAAGAACUUUUCUUAAAGGCAUAAAAUCAUCAAUAUUCAAUAGAUAGCUAAGAAUACUUGAUCUCCAUGUAUGACCUUAUCAUAGAAAGUCAAAUAGCAAAAGUUCAACAUAGAUAUAGAUUGCUUCCCCAUUAUAGAUAAGCAUGUUAAGAUGAAAGUGUAAAAAUACAUAAAGGACCUAAGUUUGAAAGGAAUGAUUACAUUUGUUGAAAAAAGGUGAAGCUGGAACCAGUUAGGUAUUAGUUAAGGAGAGUUUCCUGAGAUGGUUUUUUUGAUAGUGUGAAUUGGAGUGGUAGAAAUGAUUUGAUGCAAUAUAGAUAAAAAUCUUGGUCCAAAAUAAGACUUGAGCAAAAAGGAUCCAAAUAAUUCCCGUUAGUUUGUGAUUAAGGUUGGGUCAAAUUGAGUAAUAACCCCAAAGCAGAAGACAAGUCAUUAUGUGUUAUUCACAUAGAUUUGGUCCUUUUUGUUUUUUAGUUUUUAAAGUGUAGGAGAGGGAAGGAGGAUAUCAGAAUUUAAACCCCUGACACUCAGGCUACAAGAAGGCACUUGAUGAGGCUCAGAUGGUAUAUAUAUCAAUAAUGACAGAAUACUACUACCACAGAUUACGAAUGUCAGUUCCUACGAAAUUACUAAGACAACAGAAACAGGAAUGUUCUCUUUCCUAAAUACCUUUGGAUAAUAAGCUGGCCCAG